This 250-nucleotide ribosomal RNA is filed under the name uncultured bacterium. RNAcentral's name for it is "partial 16S ribosomal RNA". It matches the Rfam family "Bacterial small subunit ribosomal RNA", at positions 524 to 773 of the family's 1533-position model. The record is from RNAcentral.
UACGAAGGUGGCGAGCGUUGUUCGGAUUCACUGGGCAUAAAGGGCGCGUAGGCGGUUCCGCAAGCAGCGCGUGAAAUCCCAUGGCUCAACCAUGGAACUGCGCGCUGGACUGCGGUUCUCGAGGACCGGAGGGGGGUGUGGAACUCUCGGUGUAGCGGUGAAAUGCGUAGAUAUCGAGAGGAACACCGGUGGCGAAAGCGACACCCUGGCCGGUUUCUGACGCUGAGGCGCGAAAGCGUGGGUAGCAAAC